UACAGAGGUCCCAAGCGUUGUUCGGAUUCACUGGGCGUAAAGGGUGCGUAGGCGGUCGGGUAAGUCUGAUGUGAAAUCUCACAGCUUAACUGUGAAACUGCAUUGGAUACUAUCCGGCUAGAGGAAUGGAGGGGAGACUGGAAUACUUGGUGUAGCAGUGAAAUGCGUAGAUAUCAAGUGGAACACCAGUGGCGAAGGCGAGUCUCUGGACAUUUCCUGACGCUGAGGCACGAAAGCCAGGGGAGCAUACGGG
Molecule: ribosomal RNA, 253 nt
Filed under: uncultured bacterium
Lineage: Bacteria
Description: partial 16S ribosomal RNA
Rfam family: Bacterial small subunit ribosomal RNA
Source: RNAcentral